RNAcentral lists this long non-coding RNA (443 nucleotides) under Sander lucioperca (pikeperch). RNAcentral's name for it is "lncRNA (ENSSLUG00000007208.1)". The record is from RNAcentral. Lineage: Eukaryota; Metazoa; Chordata; Actinopteri; Perciformes; Percidae.
GGGAACGGUUUUUCAAAAAGACAGCUUCCAAUCAGUGGAUACUUAAGACACCUCAGGAGUACUGGAGAACAACGACCACUGACAACAGGCACUACACCUUCCGUUCUCUUGACGAAAUGAAGACAACGUGUCUGGAGAAAGAUAAUGCCACAGAGGAUGAUGAGAGGUGGGAGUGCAUUGAGCUGUUGAAGGCAAUGCUCAAGUGGACUGAGAAGGAGAGGAUUACCCCUAGUGGUAUUCUCAAUCACCCAUUUAUUACCAUGAGCUACCUCAACAGCUGCUCCCACCUCAGUUCCUGCAAUAGGUCUGUAGAAGCUGAAACCAGCCCAAGCCAGGCAUCCGGCCCCAGUGCGAGCCCUGCAGCUAAACCUGGCAUUGACAAAGCUAUUGACUCCAACACUAAGAAGGCAGCCGAGCCUGGCACCACCAGGCGACUCAACUGA